GGUCCAAUGGUCUAGUUGGUUAGGACGUCGGAUUCUGACAACUGAGAGUUCCGUAAGCCCAGGUUCGAAUCCUGGUUAGACCU
RNAcentral lists this transfer RNA (83 nucleotides) under Scedosporium apiospermum. It matches the Rfam family "tRNA". Rfam says of the family: Transfer RNA (tRNA) molecules are approximately 80 nucleotides in length. The record is from Rfam by way of RNAcentral. Lineage: Eukaryota; Fungi; Ascomycota; Sordariomycetes; Microascales; Microascaceae.